CAAAUCCCACGCUGCCGAGAAAAGCUUCUAACGUUAAGGUAUAACUGCCCGUACCCGAAACCGACACAGGUGGUCAGGAUGAGAAAUCUAAGGCGGACAGGCUAACUCUCGUUAAGGAACUCUGCAAAAUAGCCCCGUAACUUUGGGAGAAGGGGUGCCCCUGAAUGUUAAUAUACACGCGAUAUGAAGCAUUUGGGGGUCGCAGUGAAGAGGCUCAAGCAACUGUUUAACAAAAACACAGGUCUAUGCUAAGCUGUAAGGCGAUGUAUAUGGGCUGACACCUGCCCAGUGCCGGAAGGUUAAGAGGAGGAGUGAGAGCUCCGAAUUGAAGCCCCGGU
This 338-nucleotide ribosomal RNA is filed under the name Salmonella enterica subsp. enterica serovar Typhimurium. RNAcentral describes it as "partial 23S ribosomal RNA". It matches the Rfam family "Bacterial large subunit ribosomal RNA", at positions 1594 to 1924 of the family's 2925-position model. Lineage: Bacteria; Pseudomonadati; Pseudomonadota; Gammaproteobacteria; Enterobacterales; Enterobacteriaceae. The record is from RNAcentral.